UCCUUGUCGGGUAAGUUCCGACCCGCACGAAAGGCGCAACGAUCUGGGCACUGUCUCAACGAGAGACUCGGUGAAAUUAUAGUACCUGUGAAGAUGCAGGUUACCCGCGACAGGACGGAAAGACCCCGUGGAGCUUUACUGCAACCUGAUAUGGAAUGUUUGUACCGCUUGUACAGGAUAGGUAGGAGCCGAAGAGACGUGUGCGCUAGCAUACGAGGAGGCAAUGGUGGGAUACUACCCUGGCUGUAUGACCAUUCUAACCCGCCACGCUUAGCGCGUGGGGAGACAGUGUCAGGUGGGCAGUUUGACUGGGGCGGUCGCCUCCU
Molecule: ribosomal RNA, 326 nt
Filed under: Listeria monocytogenes
Lineage: Bacteria; Bacillati; Bacillota; Bacilli; Caryophanales; Listeriaceae
Description: partial 23S ribosomal RNA
Rfam family: Bacterial large subunit ribosomal RNA
Source: RNAcentral